Molecule: unclassified non-coding RNA, 378 nt
Filed under: Bombus terrestris (buff-tailed bumblebee)
Lineage: Eukaryota; Metazoa; Arthropoda; Insecta; Hymenoptera; Apidae
Description: misc RNA ENSBTSG00005036268.1
Source: RNAcentral
AAGCGCAGCGAUGAUUUUAAUAGCAGCGUACUACUUGCAACCAGAGUGAGAAAAAUAUACGUGCAAGCCAUGGGGAGAAGCGAAAUCGAGGCCAGGAAUUUCGCGAAAACGAAAUGACAGAGUGUGCAGCAGCGUGAAGCUGUGGCAAAAAGUGGGAAGCGUUUGGCCCGCGUCCAGCAGCCGUUCGCAAUAGGAAAAUUACCCGGGAUUACGUUGAAAUUCAUUUCUCGCAAGAAAAAUCGUCGUGCGUUAAAAGCCUCGGACGAUUAUUAAUUCGGGAGAAGUGUCGCGCUCGCAAACUUACUUCGAUGGUGAAACAGUGUAGCUAGGUGUGUUAUCCCCCGGUUUCUGAACUUCGGUCAAUUGUAAUUGAGAAAU